Molecule: ribosomal RNA, 440 nt
Filed under: uncultured Desulfobulbus sp.
Lineage: Bacteria; Pseudomonadati; Thermodesulfobacteriota; Desulfobulbia; Desulfobulbales; Desulfobulbaceae
Description: bacterial SSU rRNA
Rfam family: Bacterial small subunit ribosomal RNA
Source: RNAcentral
AAUUCGAUGCAACGCGAAGAACCUUACCUGGUCUUGACAUCCCGGGGACCCUUAGGAAACUAGGGGGUGCUUCCAUCUGGAAGAAUCUGGAGACAGGUGCUGCAUGGCUGUCGUCAGCUCGUGUCGUGAGAUGUUGGGUUAAGUCCCGCAACGAGCGCAACCCUUGCCUUUAGUUGCCAGCAGUUCGGCUGGGCACUCUAAAGGGACUGCCGGUGUUAAACCGGAGGAAGGUGGGGAUGACGUCAAGUCCUCAUGGCCUUUAUGACCAGGGCUACACACGUACUACAAUGGCCGAUACAAAGGGCAGCGACACUGCGAGGUGAAGCCAAUCCCGUAAAAUCGGUCUCAGUCCGGAUUGGAGUCUGCAACUCGACUCCAUGAAGUUGGAAUCGCUAGUAAUCGUGGAUCAGCAUGCCACGGUGAAUACGUUCCCGGGCCUU